Molecule: long non-coding RNA, 219 nt
Filed under: Elaeis guineensis (African oil palm)
Lineage: Eukaryota; Viridiplantae; Streptophyta; Magnoliopsida; Arecales; Arecaceae
Description: long non-coding RNA (EGUI_LNC040467)
Source: RNAcentral
CCUGCACCCUGAAUAUGUUCAUGAGUAUGGAACCAUGUCAAACUCAAACACAUAUUCAUAUCAAUUCUCAAUUAAGUAAUGAUGACUCCAAUUAAAAAGUACUAGAAAUUUUCUAAUCUCCUUCCUGCUUUUGGCCAAAAGACUUUUUUCGAGUCAUCUAGGAUUGAGAAUACAUAGGAUGCGAUCUCCUCUUACUAGGAGUAAUCGAUUCCAUGUUGA